This 3140-nucleotide long non-coding RNA is filed under the name Volvox carteri. Its description in RNAcentral is "long non-coding RNA (VCAR_LNC000376)". The record is from RNAcentral. Lineage: Eukaryota; Viridiplantae; Chlorophyta; Chlorophyceae; Chlamydomonadales; Volvocaceae.
GCUGGUCUGGUCUGGGUUGACACUACUGCAAUUAGCGGUUUAAGGUCCUGGGUUCGAUUCCUGGGGAGACCCCCGAAUUAGUCGGGAGCGCGAGAUUAUGGCUAGCUGCUGAGAUGUGGAGUUGAGGUCACAAUUGAUGGACCAGAUUCGCACGCUGGAUUGGUGGCGAUUGCCGAACCCUCCGUCUCUUCGGGUGUUCGGGUGAAUGGAUGAGGAGGGGUCCCAGAAGGCUGGAUCCGCCGCCUUGGACUUACAGUUCGUAUGGCGAAGUAUAGUGUGGUAGUGGUGGAUGGUGCUAUAAGGUGAUAAAUGAUCUAGAACUGACAAUGUGAUAAAGCGGCCCAGAAGCCUCCCACUCUGUAACAUUACAUUACAUAACAUUACAAAUCCAGCUACCAUAUUAUGACGCAGCAACGUCUCAAGGUUGCUGUAUCCCAAGUGGCCAUACCUUCGGUGCCAAAGUGCUGCACGUUCAGCUCCGAUACCCACGGCAGCACACACUGCAUCACCACCAGAAGGUAUCCUGUUGUCUUCACGCUGCGUCCUCUUCAGAGCUCCCGUACCUCCACUGCUGUAGCAGACGGGAUACAAGUCCCCAUCCCGCUUUCCAGUCAGCACCAACUGGUUCUGUACGUAUACUUUCGCCUGUCCGCCGCCGAAGACCACACUGCCUCCACGAUCAUCAAUGAUGCGGACCGAUAUGAUUUUGGCGGUGGCUUCCUCGUCGACGUAGACCUUCUUGAAAGUGAUGGCCUGUUUAUCGUUGACGUUAGACCGAAUCGUAAGCAUGCCAACUUCAGUCGGUCGAAGAGAUUGUCCCUUGAUGCCCAUGAUGUUGAAGCGCUCCCAUGGCUCCAACAACCGCACGUUGAAAAGUUCUGAGCGGUCAUACGUUAUGUGGUGAGUGGCGGCUGAGUCCAGAAACCAUUCCGUCGGACGAUUGCUGUUGUAUGCCACGAAUGCUACCUGCCGCGGAACUCCUGGCCCCCUAGCUGAUCCACCGGAUCCUGGCUUGCUGCCGCUAGCUCCGCUGCCACUACCUCCGUUACCACUGUUGCUGUAGCCACCCUUGUAGCCAGAAUUUGACGACUGCUUCAGCGCCUUAAGCUGCCUGCAGUCCUUAACCACGUGCCCAGGUUUAUUACAGUAGUAGCAGAUGACUUGCUUCCGACUAUGUCCCGAGCUGUUGUUAGCCGGCCCCCGGCUACCAUAACCAGAAGUAGAAGCGCCGAACGUCGAACCGCCGACAGACGUGAAGGCUGCCGACUCGGUAGGCUUGCCCGACCCACCGUUAGCCGUCUCGAUAGAGAGAAGCUUUGCUGUGACGCUCGCCAUGUCCAAAUCGCCGUCGCGCAUAAGUAAUGUAGUCGUCACCACGCUGUACCGACUGGGUAGACCAACUAGCACGGUGUACGCCAGCUCGGAGUCGUUAACUACGUGGCCGACUCCCAAUAAAUCUGUUUGCAGCUGCCUUGCACGCGCAAAGUACAUCGGAAGAGGUUCGCCGUCGACCAUUUUAAAACGGCUGAAUUCUUGACGUAGAGACACCUUGCGGGCGUUGUUGUUGGCAGCAAACAUAGAUCCCAAGGCGUCCCAGGCCUUCUUCGCGUUGGCAGCACCGGUAACCAUCGGCAAAUGAUGAUCCUUGACGUUCUUGAUGAGCAAAUUGAUGACCUUCCGUGACUGUCGAAUUUGCUCCUCGUUGCACGGCUCGUCGAGCAGGGAUUGCUCAAGCCCAAGCUCCAUGCACAUCGCGCUAAACCGAAUUUGCCAGGUAGAGUAGUUGUUGAGGUCCAGCGACUCAUCAAGCUUGUCCUUAACCAUUGUCGAUGAGGGAUAGAAAUAACAAUUUUGGGCGAUAGCUGUCUGCGCUAAGCGGGGCUCAUAACCUAUUGAAGAAUUGGCGACGGUGACGGCUAACGCUAAUUGUUAUUCCGGAAGGAUUGCCGGUGGCGAAGAUAUUUAGCACGAUAAACUUGUUACAAGUAAUGUAAAGAGUAUUGUUAGCGUUCGGCAGGACUUGAGGAGAUUCCUGGUAGGAAUACCGAUCGUUGUGAGAUAAACUAAUAGGCGCAGUCACCGCCCUAAAUACCGGCGCUAGCAGAAAACUCGUACAUUCCGCGAUCUAACUGCACGUACAUUCCGCGAUCUCACUGCGCCGUCCAGACGGUGCCCUAAUGUCUAUCACUUAGCUACCGGAUAUGCAUCGGUAGCCCCAUAAAGUUCUGGGGUAAGUCUUCCCCAUUAGUCAGGCGCAGACCCGGGGUCAAAUCCCCUGGUCGACAACCACACGAGUUGGGAGAGGACCGUUUCCUCAACAGCUAAGCGCCCCCUGGGAAUCUAUUUGGAUUCCGAUUGCGCUCUCAGUCAAACCCAAAUCAUCCAUCAGCUUGCGAAGCCACAAAGCCUCGCGAACAGCUGCUGCUGUCGCUUGAUACUCGGCCUCCACCGACGAAGCCGCCACAGUGUGUUGAAGUUGGCUGCUCCAGCUAAUCGCAGCUCCAUUAAGAGUGAAAUGUAGCCGGAAGUAGAACGCCGCGUAACUGGGUCUCCUGCCCAGUCAGAAUCGCUAUACCCGGACACAGCAACAUCGCCAACACCCCCAAAACGCAAUCCUAGUUCGCGAGUCCCCGCCAGGUAACGCAGAACGCCGAUUGCUAAGUUCAUGGCAGUCUUCGUAGGUGCGGCCAUAUGCCGGGACAAAACGCUCAAUGCAUAUGAAAUGUCUGGGUCUGGUCUGGGUUGACACUACUGGUCUGGUCUGGUCUGGUCUGGGUCUGGUCUGGGUUGACACUACUGCGAUUCGCGGUUUAAGGUCCUGGGUUCGAUUACUGGGGAGACCCCCGAAUUAGUCGGGAGCGCGAGAUUAUGGCUAGCUGCUGAAAUGUGGAGUUGAGGUCGCAGUUGAUGGACCAGAUUCGCACGCUAGAUUGGUGGCGAUUGCCGAACCCUCCAUCUCUUCGGUUGUUCGGGUGAAUGGAUGAGGAGGGGUCCUAGACGGCUGGACCCGCCGCCUUGGACUUACAGUUCGUAUGGCGAAGUAUAGUGUGGUAGUGGUGGACGGUGCUAUAAGAUGAUACAUCGUAGAACUGACAAUGUGAUAAAGCGGCCCAGAAGCCCCCCACUCUGUAACAUUACAU